Molecule: ribosomal RNA, 487 nt
Filed under: uncultured bacterium
Lineage: Bacteria
Description: bacterial SSU rRNA
Rfam family: Bacterial small subunit ribosomal RNA
Source: RNAcentral
GCGACAGGCCUAACACAUGCAAGUCGAGGGGCAGCACAAGGAGCAAUCUGAGGUGGCGACCGGCGCACGGGUGAGUAACACGUAUGCAACCUGCCUGUAAGCGGGGAAUAACCCGUUGAAAGACGGACUAAUACCGCAUAAUACUAAAUUACUGCAUGGUAAAUUUAUUUAAACAUUUAUGGCUUACAGAUGGGCAUGCGCAUGAUUAGCUAGUUGGAGAGGUAACGGCUCCCCAAGGCAACGAUCAUUAGGGGUUCUGAGAGGAAGGUCCCCCACACUGGUACUGAGACACGGACCAGACUCCUACGGGAGGCAGCAGUGAGGAAUAUUGGUCAAUGGACGAGAGUCUGAACCAGCCAAGUCGCGUGCAGGAAGAAUGUCCUAUUGGAUUGUAAACUGCUUUUGCAGGGGAAUAAAGUGCAUCACGUGUGAUGUUUUGUAAUGUACUCUGCGAAUAAGGAUCGGCUAACUCCGUGCCAGCAGCAGC